RNAcentral lists this ribosomal RNA (253 nucleotides) under uncultured bacterium. RNAcentral describes it as "partial 16S ribosomal RNA". It matches the Rfam family "Bacterial small subunit ribosomal RNA", at positions 524 to 776 of the family's 1533-position model. The record is from RNAcentral.
UACGGAAGGUCCGGGCGUUAUCCGGAUUUAUUGGGUUUAAAGGGAGCGCAGGCGGCUUUUUAAGCGUGCCGUGAAAUGCCGGGGCUCAACCUUGGAAUUGCGGCGUGAACUGGAAGGCUUGAGUUCGCGGAACGUACGCGGAAUUCGUGGUGUAGCGGUGAAAUGCUUAGAUAUCACGAAGAACCCCGAUUGCGAAGGCAGCGUACGGCAGCGUUACUGACGCUGAGGCUCGAAAGUGCGGGUAUCGAACAGG